This 449-nucleotide ribosomal RNA is filed under the name uncultured bacterium. RNAcentral describes it as "partial 16S ribosomal RNA". It matches the Rfam family "Bacterial small subunit ribosomal RNA", at positions 29 to 523 of the family's 1533-position model. The record is from RNAcentral.
AACGAACGCUGGCGGCAUGCCUAACACAUGCAAGUCGAACGAAGGCUUCGGCCUUAGUGGCGCACGGGUGCGUAACGCGUGGGAAUCUGCCCCUCGGUUCGGAAUAACAGUUAGAAAUGACUGCUAAUACCGGAUGAUGACUUCGGUCCAAAGAUUUAUCGCCGAGGGAUGAGCCCGCGUAAGAUUAGGUAGUUGGUGGGGUAAAGGCCUACAAAGCCGACGAUCUUUAGCUGGUCUGAGAGGAUGAUCAGCCACACUGGGACUGAGACACGGCCCAGACUCCUCCGGGAGGCAGCAGUGGGGAAUAUUGGACAAUGGGCGAAAGCCUGAUCCAGCAAUGCCGCGUGAGUGAUGGAGGCCUUAGGGUUGUAAAGCUCUUUUACCAGGGAUGAUAAUGACAGUACCUGGAGAAUAAGCUCCGGCUAACUCCGUGCCAGCCGCCGCAGUAA